CUGGAACUUAAAGAGGCGGUGUUUGUCCGAGAUGAUGGUUCAAUGCUCCUGCUCUGUCAAAAGGAAGAUGGUGUCAGAAGUGGGAUCCAAAGUAGCACUUCUAAUUACCCCCAGUAGUGCCUAGUGACCAAGCAAAGUAUGUUCCUGACCCAUUGUGUCCAUUGCUUUCUCACAGCAACUGGGGAUCAUGAAAAUUUGCAGCUUGGACUCUUGCUUCAGAGGAUAGAAUCCCCAAGCCUUGGCAGCUUCCACGUGGUGUUAAGCCUGUAAGUAAACAGACGUCAAGAACUGAGGUUUGGGAAAUGCUGCCUAGAUUUCAGAAAAUGUAUGGAAAUGCCUGGAUGGCCUGGCCAAAGUUUGCUGCAGGGGCAGAGCCCUCAUGGAGCAACUCUGCUAGGGCGGUGCAGAAGGGAAAUGUGGGGUCGGAGACUCCACACAGAGUCCCUACUGGGGCACUACCUGGUGGAGCUGUGAGAAGAGGGCCACAGUCUUCCAGACCCUAGGAUGGUGGAUGAACUGACAGCUUGCACCGUGUGCCUGGAAAAGCCACAAACACUCAAUGCCAGGCUGCGAAAGCAGCCAGGAGGGGGGCUAUACCUUGCAAAGCCACAAGGGUGAAGUUGCUCAAGACCAUGGGUAUCCACCUCUUGUAUCAGCAUGACCUGGAUGUGAAACAUGGAGUCAAAAGGAGAUCAUUUUGGAGCUUUAAGAUUUGACUGCCCUACUGGAUUUCAGACUUUCAUGGGACCUGUAGCCCCUUUGUUUUGGCCAACAUCUCCCAUUUACAAUGGCUGUAUUUAUAGAAUGCCUGUACCCCCACUGUAUCUAGGAAGUAAAUAAUUUGCUUUUGAUUUUACAGGUUCAUAGGCAGAAGGGACUUGCCUUGUCCCAGGUGAAACUUUGGACUGUGGACUUUUGAAUUAAUGCUGAAAUUUGCUGAGACUUUGGGGUUGGAGGUAAUUGAAUCAUGGGGGCAGGUCUUUCCCAUGCUGUUCUCAUGAUAGUGAGUAAGUCUCACAAGAACUAAUGGCUAAUGGUUAUUAUAAGGGGGAGUUUUCCCACACAAGCUUUUUUUUUUUUCCUUGCCUGCUGCCAUCCAUGUAAGAUGUGACUUGCUCCUCCUUGCCUUCUGCCAUGAUUGUGAGGCUUCCCCAGCCAUGUAGAACUGUAAGUCCCAUAAAAUCUUUCUUUUGUAAAUUGCCCAGUCUUGGGUAUGUCUUUAUCAGCAGAAUUAAAAUGGACAAAUACAUUGGUCUUAGGAUUCUUUAUCAUUGCUUUUCAUAAAUUUGAUUAUAUAUCCUUGUGUGGUUUCAUUUUUCUUUGUCUUUGCUUUUAUUGACGUUUUGGCUGUGUAGGUUUAGUUUUCAUAAAAUUUGGAAAAUUUGGGGCCUCUACUCUUCAAUUAUUUUUUCUGUUCCUCCACUCUCAAUCUGAGAAUCAAGUGUGAAUGUGUGACAAGUGGAGAUUAUUUGAAGUAUCUCAUAAUCUGGGAUUCCAGUGUACGUUAGAUUAUUUUAUAUUACUCAACAGCUGUUACACUAGAACACUGUUCUUAUUUUAGUCUUUUAUUCCCUCAGUGUUUCAUUUUACAUGCUAUUAUUCAUUCAGUGAAAUUUUCAUUUCAUAUACUGCAUGUUUUCAUCCCUAGAAGUUUUAUUUGGUUCUUUGUCAUAUCUCGUAUUUCUUGCCUCAUUUUUAUGUUGUUCUCUAAGCCCUCAGUCAUAUUUAAAAGAAUUGCUUUAAUGUACUUCUCUAAUCACUCCAUUACUAUGGCUGUUGUUCUGUUGGUCCCUCUUAAGUGAUUUAUCUCCUUCAGUCACAUUUCCUACUUUUGUGCAUAGCUAGUAUUUUCUAAUUGGAUGUUAAACACUGGGAGUGUUACAUUGUUGGAUGCUGAAGCUUACUUUUCUCUUUAAACAGUAAUAGACUUCCUUCCAUCAGCCAUUUUAGUUUUUGCAAGAUUAAUUUUAUGGUCUCAGGGCUUGUUUUUAGGAGGACGUUAUGAGCUCAACUUUGUCUCCUUCAUAUUUGUAUGCUGAAGCCCUAACAGUCCAGUUCCUCAGGAUGUAACUAUUUUUUUUAGGUAGGAGCUUUCAAAGACAUAAUUAAAUUAAAAGAGGCCAUCUAGGUAAGGCCUAGCCCAAUCUGGCUGGUGUCCUUGUAACAAGAGAUAAUUUGGACACCAGAGAGAAACUGAGGUUGCUCAUGAAUUGAAAAAAUAUCAUCUGCAGUCAUAGCACUAAAGUAACCAUCUACAAGCCAUAUAGACAGGCCUCAGAAGUAACCAAAUCUACUGACACCUUGAUUUUGGACUUCCAAUCUUAACCACUGUGAGAAAACAGAUGUUCUGUUUUUUAAGCCACCUGUGCUGUUUCUUUGUGACCAACCUAGCAAACUGUUAACAACAUCAGUCAGUUAAAGUAGCCUCUGCUCUAAGGAUAAUGCUUUAGCUCUCUAGUAAUCUCUGAUCCUGUGAGGUCACAACUAAAUGCUCUAGGUGUCCACCAUUGCUGGUUGGAACUCAGUCCUCUUCCAGCCUUGCGUGAGCUCUUGGAUUUGUUGAGCCUACAUCUCUCUCGCCAUUCUUUGCCUAAAUUUAUUUAGUUUUAUUCUAUGAAUGUAUAGCUCAGUGUUCCGUAAGAGUCUCAAAGGGAAUCAGUGCUGAUUUUCCAGUUUUUCUGCAUGGCUCUCUUGUUUGACAUUCCACCCUGAAAAUUCCAACUUCUUUACUCUGAAAAAUCUGUUCUUGGUUACCUCAAACUUGGUUGUUCUGCUUGUGUUCCCCUUUAUAGCUCUACUAUCUUUAGUGUGUCUCCAGACAUGAAUCAGGUUGAUUAUAAGACUGACAUAAAAUAUUUACCUUAAAUUAGGUAUCAUAGAUCUAUACUAUAUGUUGUCCAGUGUCUAGUAAGUGUUAUUUAAUAUAUUGUUUCAGUUUUAUAAUUGCUUAUCAUGGGAAGUUAAGUCCAAUUACUCGAUCACGGUCAAAGUGAAAGUUGUCUACAUAUUUUUGUUGUUGUAAAAUUAAUAAAUGCGUAUUGUGGACAUCUUAGGGAAUUCAGAAAAGCCAAGAAGCAAAAAUGAGCAAGUAGAGUUAUCAUUAGUUCUCUAACAUAUAGAUAAUUGAUAUGUUCACACCAGUUACACAAUUGUGUAUUCUCCUUUUUCUAAAAAUGCUAUUGUGAUUUUCAAAUGUCAAAGAUUUUCCAAUAAUGAAAAGCUUUUGAUCAAUAUUACCCUAUAAUUUAGCUAGCCUGAAUGUUAUUCACUAGUUUAUUCAUUAUUGACUAUUUAAUUCUAAUGAUGUUUACCCCAGAUUCCUCUACCCUGAUUACUCAAACAUUACAUCUGCUGUGAAGCAACUUGAAGAUGUAUUUAAGGUAACUAAUCAUUAACCUUAUGUUAGAAAAAUUAACCUAGCAUGACCAGGUAGCCCAGGCUAGUCACAGGAGCUCGUAAAGGCAUAAAAGAAGGCAUGACAGUCAGUCAGAAUGAUCUAACAGAAAGGGAGAAAUUUGAAGCGUGAGAGAGAUUCCCCAUCAUUGUUAAAGGAAAGAAGGACACAUAGAAAAGAAGACAAGGAAUAUGGGCAUCAUUAAGAAGCAAAGACCAGCCCCUUGUUGACAGAUGGAAGGUAAGUGGGUUCCUCAUUACCACAAGUGAAAGAAGCUGAAUCCCAGCAACUGAAUGAGCUUGGGAUCAGGUUCAUCCCUGGAGUCUCCAGAGAGGACCGUAGCCUUAAUUGGAGUUAUAAGCAAAAGCAAAAAGAACGUGGUAUAUUACACGUCAGUAAUUGUAGAGAUACUAAUCGGAAGUUAGGUGAUACAUUUAUUAUAGUUUUAAAUGUUUUGCCUACUUUAAUGCACGGAAAAGCCAAUGCUUAUAUUUUAGAUACUAGAGUGAAAAAAUCAGCAUAGCAGAUUUUGACUCUUGUGGGCAUUUUAUUUUUCUCACGUUUUCACACACAUUCAAUUUAUUCCAAAUUUAAGCUAAUAAUAGACAUAUUUUAGAUGAAAAAGAAGUGGAAACAGUGCUUGACUGUGAACAAAAGAUUAAAAUGAAAGAGCAAAAGAAAAAAAACAGCUGAACAGAAUAAGUAUGUGGGGUGACCUAUCUGUGCGGUACAAGUGUUGUUGCUUUUUAAAAAUUGCUUACAAUUAAAGUAAUAAACCUUCACUUUAAAAAAAACAUUUUAAAGAUUCUCUGGUCUACUUCACUUUAUUGCUAUAGAAAUUGGAAGA
Molecule: long non-coding RNA, 4241 nt
Filed under: Homo sapiens (human)
Lineage: Eukaryota; Metazoa; Chordata; Mammalia; Primates; Hominidae
Description: HSALNT0071895
Source: RNAcentral